ACGUGCUACAAUGGCGUAAACAGAGGGAAGCGAGCCCGCGAGGGGGAGCGAAUCCCAAAAACAACGUCCCAGUUCGGAUUGUAGUCUGCAACCCGACUACAUGAAGCCGGAAUCGCUAGUAAUCGCGGAUCAGAAUGCCGCGGUGAAUACGUUCCCGGGUCUUGUACACACCGCCCGUCAAGCCAUGGGAGCCGGGGGCGCCUGAAGUCCGGGACCGCGAGGACCGGCCUAGGGCGAAACUGGUAACUGGGGCUAAGUCGUAACAAGGUAUC
Molecule: ribosomal RNA, 272 nt
Filed under: uncultured bacterium
Lineage: Bacteria
Description: partial 16S ribosomal RNA
Rfam family: Bacterial small subunit ribosomal RNA
Source: RNAcentral